RNAcentral lists this long non-coding RNA (1378 nucleotides) under Mus pahari (shrew mouse). Its description in RNAcentral is "lncRNA (MGP_PahariEiJ_G0005668.1)". The record is from RNAcentral. Lineage: Eukaryota; Metazoa; Chordata; Mammalia; Rodentia; Muridae.
UACUACCAAUGGCCAGUGGCUUAGAGGACGUUCAAAGAUACCUGACAACAGGCUCAGAGGACUCAUCCAAACCCUGACACACAGAAACUCACAGACCACAAUAUGAGUUAAAGUAGGAAAUACUGCACACUGAGCAGCAACAUGCAAUGUCAUCCGGAUGGCAGGGAUUAACUAUAUCACAGAGACAAGGAAGGAGCCAGAUUAAAAAACCAGCUGUCUAGGAAGUAAUCUUCAGAAGAAGCUGUUAAAACAGAACACUUUCUGCCAUCCGCCAGAGCUGGCCUGUCAGCUCUGUGUUGGAUUUAAAACAGUGGUGACCAACUCUUGGAGUCAAGUCAUCUUGCCAGGUUAGACACAGAUAUCACUGUCAUGUCUGGCUCAGUGUUCGUUCUCAAUAUGGCUUCAGGCUGUGAAGAUGAGAAAGGAAACUAGCAGCCUUUCCAGAUGUGAGAAGAGCCUUGCCACGAGAUGCUUGGAGGAAUGAAGGACCAGUGUGCAGAGCACCCAGAUGCUGCCCUGGCCCCGUUGGUACUCAUCAUGUAAUCUUAGGAUCAACUUCUUGCUCAUUUUCUCAGAAGCACUCUUGAAUCCAAAGAACAAUAUCAGUUAUUAUCAAUAAUCAUCUGCAUCAGAGCAGAACGAAUACGUUUCUAUCAGGGAAGAGAAAACCACCCAUCCCAUCAUUAAGCUCAACAUCAUUUUAUUGUAUUCAUUAUUAUUUAUUAUUGGCAGGUGGGCUGUGAAUGACACAGUGCAGAUGCUGGGGCCAGAAGUCCUCUCCAUGUAGUUGGUUCUCUUCUCCCACCUCUAUGUGGGUUCUAGGGGUCAAAAUCAGGUUGCCAGGUUUGCCCCGCAAACACCUUCAACUGCUAAGCCAUCUUGCUGGUCCAAAGGUUGGCAUCAUUGAAGCCUACAGUUUUUUAAUGGUCCUCCAUAAAAGAAGUGACCAAAGUUCCCAUUUUCUGCCAUAAAGCCUCCACUUCCUUAGAGGCCAGUGGCCAAGACAAGUGAAAAAUGAUCCUGACUGUGAUUAUUCUGAUUCUGGUUAUUGGUAAAGUGGCCACGCUCCGUGUUUUGGCAAUAUUAGCUCACAUAAGCAUGGGCCUUUGUUUGGCAUGUACAGAAGCAUGUUUCUAGGGCGAAACAUGGGCUCUGACUUCUAAAUCAACAGACAAGAAAGUGUAUGAAGUAAAACUUUAAAAGCUGGGUGGUGUCUAAGAUUAUAAGACCAUUAAACAAUAGUGGUAAGCACAGAGACACAGCAAAGAAGUAUGGAAACUUGGCUCAAAGGUGACCUCAUGAAGCCUGCCUUAUGUGGAGACGUCCUUCCAAUUUGGUCUUGAAGUGAACAAAAAAUAAAGCUUGAUUUAAUCUGGCC